UCUAUAUGCAAAUAUCAUAAAACGCUUUGACAUCUGCAUGACAUGUGUUCAAAGCCAAAAACUCACAUCAACACUCACUCGGCGUUAAAGCAUGUUGUUCGCCCUUUCGAACGCCUUUUGACAUGAUGUAGCUGCACGAGGGGCUUUUAAAACAGCAAGAAGUCGCUCCAUUGGCACCUAAAUGGCAAAUUUUGUUAUUCUGCUUCGUGGAUAAACACAGGCAAGGGACGAAGCAAAAUUUCGAGAGCCAUUUGAAUUUAUUCAAGGAAACACCGACUUGCUUCUCGCCUGGGUUUGGCAGCUGGUGAUAGCCUUCGUAAUAACACCGCUGCA
Molecule: unclassified non-coding RNA, 333 nt
Filed under: Stylophora pistillata
Lineage: Eukaryota; Metazoa; Cnidaria; Anthozoa; Scleractinia; Pocilloporidae
Description: filamin-C-like, transcript variant X2
Source: RNAcentral